RNAcentral lists this ribosomal RNA (292 nucleotides) under uncultured Planctomycetota bacterium. RNAcentral describes it as "uncultured planctomycete partial 16S ribosomal RNA". Lineage: Bacteria; Pseudomonadati; Planctomycetota. The record is from RNAcentral.
GGACUACUAGGGUUUCUAAUCCCGUUCGCUCCCCUGGCUUUCGCGCCUCAGCGUCAGAUGAGGUCCAGCGUGCCGCCUUCGCCACCGGAGUUCCUGUAGAUAUCAACGCAUUUCACCGCUCCACCUACAGUUCCGCACGCCCCUACCCCCCUCGAGGCCGCCAGUAUCCAUGGCACUUCCCCGGUUGAGCCGGAGGAUUUCACCACAGACUUGGCAGCCCGCCUACGCGCCCUUUAAGCCCAGUGAUUCCGAACAACGUUCGCUCGGUUCGUCUUACCGCGGCGGCUGGCAC